AACGAACGCUGGCGGCAUGCCUAACACAUGCAAGUCGAACGAGACCUUCGGGUCUAGUGGCGCACGGGUGCGUAACGCGUGGGAACCUGCCCUUAGGUUCGGAAUAACUCCCCGAAAGGGGUGCUAAUACCGGAUAAUGUCCUCGGACCAAAGAUUUAUCGACUUUGGAUGGGCCCGCGUUGGAUUAGCUUGUUGGUAGGGUAAAAGCCUACCAAGGCGACGAUCCAUAGCUGGUUUGAGAGGAUGAUCAGCCACACUGGGACUGAGACACGGCCCAGACUCCUACGGGAGGCAGCAGUGGGGAAUAUUGGACAAUGGGCGAAAUCCUGAUCCAGCAAUGCCGCGUGAGUGAUGAAGGCCUUAGGGUUGUAAAGCUCUUUUACCCGGGAUGAUAAUGACAGUACCGGGAGAAUAAGCUCCGGCUAACUCCGUG
This 433-nucleotide ribosomal RNA is filed under the name uncultured bacterium. RNAcentral describes it as "partial 16S ribosomal RNA". It matches the Rfam family "Bacterial small subunit ribosomal RNA", at positions 29 to 507 of the family's 1533-position model. The record is from RNAcentral.